RNAcentral lists this ribosomal RNA (229 nucleotides) under uncultured bacterium. RNAcentral's name for it is "partial 16S ribosomal RNA". It matches the Rfam family "Bacterial small subunit ribosomal RNA", at positions 568 to 796 of the family's 1533-position model. The record is from RNAcentral.
UGCGUAGGCGGGCUAAUAAGUCAGUGGUGAAAUAUUCCGGCUCAACCGGGAGACUGCCAUUGAUACUGUUGGUCUUGAGUUCGGCUGAGGUAGGCGGAAUGUGUAAUGUAGCGGUGAAAUGCUUAGAUAUUACACAGAACACCAAUUGCGUAGGCAGCUUACUAGACCGACACUGACGCUGAGGCACGAAAGCGUGGGGAGCGAACAGGAUUAGAUACCCUGGUAGUCC